CCUGGUGGCUCAGACAGUAAAGAAUCUGCCUGCAAAGCAGGAGCCCUGGGUUCGAUCCCUGCAUCAGGA
This 69-nucleotide transfer RNA is filed under the name Ovis aries (sheep). It matches the Rfam family "tRNA". From Rfam's summary of the family: Transfer RNA (tRNA) molecules are approximately 80 nucleotides in length. Their secondary structure includes four short double-helical elements and three loops (D, anti-codon, and T loops). Lineage: Eukaryota; Metazoa; Chordata; Mammalia; Artiodactyla; Bovidae. The record is from Rfam by way of RNAcentral.